AUUGAUGGCGAGUGGCGAACGGGUGAGUAAUACAUCGGAACGUGCCCUGUAGUGGGGGAUAACUAGUCGAAAGAUUAGCUAAUACCGCAUACGACCUGAGGGUGAAAGUGGGGGACCGCAAGGCCUCAUGCUAUAGGAGCGGCCGAUGUCUGAUUAGCUAGUUGGUGAGGUAAAGGCUCACCAAGGCGACGAUCAGUAGCUGGUCUGAGAGGACGAUCAGCCACACUGGGACUGAGACACGGCCCAGACUCCUACGGGAGGCAGCAGUGGGGAAUUUUGGACAAUGGGCGAAAGCCUGAUCCAGCAAUGCCGCGUGUGUGAAGAAGGCCUUCGGGUUGUAAAGCACUUUUGUCCGGAAAGAAAUGGCUCUGGUUAAUACCUGGGGUCGAUGACGGUACCGGAAGAAUAAGGACCGGCUAACUACGUGCCAGCAGCCGCGGUAAUACGUAGGGUCCAAGCGUUAAUCGGAAUUACUGGGCGUAAAGCGUGCGCAGGCGGUUGUGCAAGACCGAUGUGAAAUCCCCGAGCUUAACUUGGGAAUUGCAUUGGUGACUGCACGGCUAGAGUGUGUCAGAGGGGGGUAGAAUUCCACGUGUAGCAGUGAAAUGCGUAGAGAUGUGGAGGAAUACCGAUGGCGAA
RNAcentral lists this ribosomal RNA (639 nucleotides) under uncultured Ralstonia sp. RNAcentral describes it as "bacterial SSU rRNA". It matches the Rfam family "Bacterial small subunit ribosomal RNA", at positions 84 to 719 of the family's 1533-position model. Lineage: Bacteria; Pseudomonadati; Pseudomonadota; Betaproteobacteria; Burkholderiales; Burkholderiaceae. The record is from RNAcentral.